RNAcentral lists this long non-coding RNA (470 nucleotides) under Lathyrus oleraceus (garden pea). RNAcentral's name for it is "Pisum sativum (pea) long non-coding RNA (PSAT_LNC037697)". Lineage: Eukaryota; Viridiplantae; Streptophyta; Magnoliopsida; Fabales; Fabaceae. The record is from RNAcentral.
UUUCACGUUUAGAGUGAUGUAGAAAAAAUACCAAUUCAAAAAUGUAUGAAAAUACUCAUUCAUAGUUUUUUUAGUUCAAUUUUUACUUUUGUUUCAUAGAUUAAUGAUAUAUAAAUAUAAUAUUGAAAUAUAUAUAUUUUGGUAUAUACGGUUUCUUUAUUUAUUAUUAUUUUUUGUUUGAAAGGCAUAGUUGUUGUUAUUGUCCUAUUAAUUCAUUUGGAAUUGUGAAAAUUCCUUCUGCAAGAGUUUCCGAUAGUUUCGGUGAGUGGUGCGAAUUUGACAACUCUAGAGUGGGUGCUGUUCUCUGCCAAAUGAAAAAGGAAAUUUGUUUUUGGUUGUAUAUUGUGAGAUCAAAUCGUGUAUAUAGCGCUUUCAAUAACAGUUUUUGAAAUUCGAUUUUUUGUGUGUUAUUAGGGCCCAAUAAUGUUUGAAAUCCCUAUUUAUUCUCUUUCUUUAGUUUUUAUCUAAAU